RNAcentral lists this long non-coding RNA (2140 nucleotides) under Mytilus galloprovincialis (Mediterranean mussel). Lineage: Eukaryota; Metazoa; Mollusca; Bivalvia; Mytilida; Mytilidae. The record is from RNAcentral.
UUUGACAAUUAUAAUUGCAUCAAAUGUUAGUAUUUAAACCUUGAAAAUCAAAUCUAGUAUCAUAGUUUCGGACAGAUUAGUACUCAUUACAGGCAGGCAGGCAAGGUAUUUUACUUUUUUAUUUAUCUAAUUUUAACGAUUGCUUUUAUAGACAUACGACAUACAACUUGCGCAGAGAAUUACUCGACGAAAUCCUAAAUUUUAACAAUUGACCUUAUAAUUGUUAUCGUUUAUUCCAAGAUGAAAUAGGGUAAUGAAACCAUUACUGCUGGUUAUAAACCUCACAGACACUAUUUGUAUUUGUGUUCAUUUUAAAAGGAACGAACAUGCAGUUAAAAUUAGCAAAGCGUAAACAUCCUAGCGUGGAUUAAUGUUGAGUUUCCUCAUUAAAUCACGGAUAAGAAGUAACUUUAUUCAUAUACAAUUAUGGUUUUGGUAUAGAUUCACAUGGAAAAGUGACAAAACGAUUGAUUCCGACGAUAUUUUGUUGUUUGCUUAGUUUGCAGGGCAUUUAAUUUCGUUACAGUCAGGUUAAUUUACUAUGGGGACCGGUUUCAACGAUAACAGUUUUAGUAUUUCAAAUUAAAAGACUCACAAGCAUGUAUGUUCAUGAUUUUUAUUUAAAUUCUUCAGCGGUUUAUGUUUAUCAUAUUUUUCCUUGUUAAAGUUCAUUUGAAUCAAUUUUCGUUUUAUUUCUGAUACAGUAAUUUUAGCGACUACGAUUCAUUGUUUUUACGGCUGGGACAAUGUCAUGUAUGGUAUUAAAUCGAAUUGCCGGGGGAUAAAAAUCUAUACAAGAUAAACAUGUAUACAUAGUCGUUGAUGAUGAAAACAAAUAUGUAAAAAAUUGUCACUUAAUAAAAAGCGUUCAAGACAGUUACUUCGAUUGCAACACCGAUUAGCAAAUAAAUGGGUAUUUAUUUUCUACAACUUGCGCAAAGCUUCGCAACAUAGAAUCAGACAAAACAUUAUGAAACUAAACUCGUUUUACCGUCUCAUAUAUUUGUUUUAGGUAUAAUGUUUGAUACCACUUUUGAUAAUAUUAUCUGGGCAAUGCUAUACGUUUAGAUUAUACAAGAUAUUAAGUAAUUCAAUGACACACAAUGUUAAUAUAUAGCUUUUUUCAGAUGUUUCCCACUUUAACAGCUAUAUUGUUCUUUGUCCUAAUAAGCGGCACCACGACAAGCGGUUGCAAGCAAUGUACAGCCAACGGGCAGCAAUAAAGGGGAAAUUCCCGAUUUCAGAUUAAAGACGGCUGUUUGCGUUAUAAUUGCAUGUGUAACUGUGAUGGUAGUUGGAACUGCCUUACUCGGGAUACAACAAACGCCUGUUUUGGAUCAAACAAUGGUGGGUCUCAUUCGAAUUGCAGACAAUGUCAACUCAGUGAACAAACAUACGCUGGAAAUAGUCGUUUUCAAUAUACCGAUGGCUGUUACCGGUUUAACUGUGACUGCCACUGUGACGGAAGUUGGACUUGCCCUGGAAGCAGAACACAAAACCUUUGCUGAAAAAUGUAUUAUGUGUCAUUGAACUGCAUUUGAUUAAAGAUUAAUCUUGAAUAUUUUUUUCGUUAUGGAACUUAUUUCAAAAUGAUCAACACAUGUACAAAGUUAUCAAAAUGUCGCUAGAAGUAGACAAUCAGUCUUCGAGAGUAUUAUCGGAACAGCACUUCAGUAAUGACAAGAUUUAUACCUAGCCAUUCUAUAUAUGUUUGUUAACAAAUUGUGAAAACAUUCCGAAACAAAAUUUGCAGACCCCUCGUUCGUAGUUGACCUUUGAAUACAUUCAGCUUUAAUUUCUGGUAAAUUUAGCUCCUCAACUGAUUUAGUUCUUUCAUACCCUUAGGUUUCAAAUAUUGAACUUUUCGGAAGAAGGUUUUUUCCAGAAAAGCUCUUCGGACGCAUGGAAUUUAUAAAAUGUUGAAAUCCUGUUUCUUUACCAUUCAAUCUUAUCACUGUUUUGAAUGUUUUCUCGCUGUGAAUGAUUGGUACAUGUACGUGCAAUAACAAGUCAAAAGAUACUUAAGGAACAUUCAAGCUAAUACGACAAAAAUAAACCCACAACACGAGUACAAAAAGAGCGAAACGAUCAACAAUUGCAUACAAAUCACAACAUAGAAAACUAAAGAGUAAGCAACACG